CCUACGGGAGGCAGCAGUGAGGAAUAUUGGUCAAUGGACGAGAGUCUGAACCAGCCAAGUAGCGUGAAGGAUGACUGCCCUAUGGGUUGUAAACUUCUUUUAUAAAGGAAUAAAACGAGGCACGUGUGCCUUUUUGCAUGUACUUUAUGAAUAAGGAUCGGCUAACUCCGUGCCAGCAGCCGCGGUAAUACGGAGGAUCCGAGCGUUAUCCGGAUUUAUUGGGUUUAAAGGGAGCGUAGAUGGGUUGUUAAGUCAGUUGUGAAAGUUUGCGGCUCAACCGUAAAAUUGCAAUUGAUACUGGCAGUCGUGAGUACAGUUGAGGUAGGCGGAAUUCGGGGUGUAGCGGUGAAAUGCUUAGAGAUCACGAAGAACCCCGAUUGCGAAGGCAGCUUACUAAACUGUGACUGACAUUGAUGCUCGAAAGUGUGGGUAUCAAACAGGAUUAGAUACCCGGGUAGUC
Molecule: ribosomal RNA, 460 nt
Filed under: uncultured bacterium
Lineage: Bacteria
Description: partial 16S ribosomal RNA
Rfam family: Bacterial small subunit ribosomal RNA
Source: RNAcentral